AUUUUCAUUUUCAGUUGUCUCUUUCCUUUUUCUUUUGCGGCUGUUUACCCUCUGGUCUAAGGAUCUUUCAUGUUUUGACCAUACUCUUUUUUUUCACAAUG
This is a non-coding RNA of Chelonoidis abingdonii (Abingdon island giant tortoise), 101 nucleotides long. The record is from RefSeq and is a predicted model, not a curated record. Lineage: Eukaryota; Metazoa; Chordata; Testudines; Testudinidae.